This 282-nucleotide ribosomal RNA is filed under the name uncultured prokaryote. Its description in RNAcentral is "partial 16S ribosomal RNA". It matches the Rfam family "Bacterial small subunit ribosomal RNA", at positions 524 to 803 of the family's 1533-position model. The record is from RNAcentral.
UACGUAGGUGGCGAGCGUUAUCCGGAAUUACUGGGUGUAAAGGGCGCGUAGGCGGGUAUACAAGUUGGAUGUGAAAUUCCGGGGCUUAACUCCGGAUUGACAUCUAAAACUGUGUAUCUUGAGUGUCAGAGGGGAAAGUGGAAUUCCUAGUGGAGUGGUAAAAUGCGUAGAUAUUAGGAGGAACAUCGGUGGCGAAGGCGACUUACUGGGCCGUAACUGACGCUGAGGCGCGAAAGCGUGGGGAGCGAACAGGAUUAGAUACCCUGGUAGUCCCUGAGCGGG